This is a ribosomal RNA of Pogona vitticeps (central bearded dragon), 119 nucleotides long. The record is from Ensembl. NCBI's taxonomy places the organism in Eukaryota, Metazoa, Chordata, Lepidosauria, Squamata, Agamidae.
AGCAUCCACCAUACCACCCAUAACAAACCUGAUCUCAUUUAACUUUAAAAGCUAAGCAGGGUUGAACCUGGCUGGUACUUGGAUGAGAGACCAUCGAGGAACAACAGAGAUAUGAGUUA